GGGGCAGUCUUGCUCCUCCACCCGAUGAGCUCUGCAGCUAACAUUGCUCCUCGCUGUCCCAUGCAGGGGACCCUGGUUCCCUCCUGGGCAGG
Ceratotherium simum simum (southern white rhinoceros) is the source of this 92-nucleotide non-coding RNA. NCBI's taxonomy places the organism in Eukaryota, Metazoa, Chordata, Mammalia, Perissodactyla, Rhinocerotidae. The record is from RefSeq and is a predicted model, not a curated record.